UACAGAGGUCUCAAGCGUUGUUCGGAUUCAUUGGGCGUAAAGGGUGCGUAGGUGGCGGGGUAAGUCAGGUGUGAAAGCUCUCGGCUAAACCGGGAGAGGUCGUUGGAUACUGGCGAACUAGAGGAUGGUAGAGGCGUGUGGAAUUCCGGGUGUAGUGGUGAAAUGCGUAGAGAUCCGGAGGAACACCAGUGGCGAAGGCGACACGCUGGGCCAUACCUGACGCUAAAGCGCGACAGCAUGGGGAGCAAACGGG
Molecule: ribosomal RNA, 253 nt
Filed under: uncultured bacterium
Lineage: Bacteria
Description: partial 16S ribosomal RNA
Rfam family: Bacterial small subunit ribosomal RNA
Source: RNAcentral